AACGAGCGUCUAAGACGACACAUUUGGACGACACCAAUUUUGACACCACAGUAGUGGCAAUGGAAAGUAAUGCAGAUACUCUUGAAGAUAUAACAGAUAAUAAGCAGGACAUGAACGAAGUAUGGAGGAUCUGUUUGAAAAUUCCAGACAUGAGAAAGAAAAUGACAGGGGUAGAUGUCCAGUUCAACGUUACCAGGACAAUUCAGCAAAGUUCCAACAUAUAUAAAAAAUCUGAAUUGGAGGCAAAUAUAUACUGUCAUGUAUAUAUAUAAGAUGGAUAAAGGACAUGAUACUUUAGCAGUGCUUCAGAGAAUCACAUUUGGUUACAGAAGUUUGUAGUAUUUUGGUUGUAAUCAAGUUAUUAAGCUGAAGCUUCAUAGUAAAACAGAUCUAGGCUACACCUUCACUAUUCAAGUCAGACUUUAAAAGAAAGAUUUUUUGUUGAUAGUUGAACUUAUGAAGAAACUUUCAAAAGAGUGGAGCAUUUAGAAGACAGAACAAUCAAAUAUUAUUUGUUACUAUUUCAGUAACUUUUCAAAUGUUAACUGUUUAGAAUAUUCUUAAAUAUAAAUAUAAUUGAAUUUAAUGUGGAAAGUGUUUUGUUUUUUUUAACAUUUGGUAACAUAUGCCUCUGUUAGGGAC
Mytilus californianus (California mussel) is the source of this 642-nucleotide long non-coding RNA. RefSeq lists it as uncharacterized. The transcript is spliced from 5 exons. The record is from RefSeq and is a predicted model, not a curated record. Lineage: Eukaryota; Metazoa; Mollusca; Bivalvia; Mytilida; Mytilidae.